UACAGAGGGUGCGAGCGUUAAUCGGAAUUACUGGGCGUAAAGCGUGCGUAGACGGCUAUCUAAGUCGGGUGUGAAAGCCCCGGGCUCAACCUGGGAAUUGCAUUCGAGACUGAAUAGCUAGGGUGCGGUAGAGGGAAGCGGAAUUUCCGGUGUAGCGGUGAAAUGCGUAGAUAUCGGAAGGAACACCAGUGGCGAAGGCGACUAUCUGGAUAGCUACUGACACUGAGACACGAAAGCAUGGGUAGCAAACAGG
Molecule: ribosomal RNA, 253 nt
Filed under: uncultured bacterium
Lineage: Bacteria
Description: partial 16S ribosomal RNA
Rfam family: Bacterial small subunit ribosomal RNA
Source: RNAcentral